Molecule: ribosomal RNA, 261 nt
Filed under: uncultured prokaryote
Description: partial 16S ribosomal RNA
Rfam family: Bacterial small subunit ribosomal RNA
Source: RNAcentral
CACGGGGGUUGCGAGCGUUAUCCGGAUUUAUUGGGUUUAAAGGGUGCGUAGGCUGGUAAUUAAGUCAGUGGUGAAAUACUCCGGCUCAACCGGGGGGCUGCCUUUGAUACCGGUUACCUUGAGUUUAGAUGAUGUGGGCGGAAUGUGUCAUGUAGCGGUGAAAUGCAUAGAGAUGACACAGAACACCGAUAGCGAAGGCAGCUCACAAAGCUAUUACUGACGCUGAUGCACGAAAGCGUGGGGAUCAAACAGGAUUAGAUA